GAUGAACGCUGGCGGCGUGCCUAAUACAUGCAAGUCGAGCGAACAGACGAGGAGCUUGCUCCUCUGACGUUAGCGGCGGACGGGUGAGUAACACGUGGAUAACCUACCUAUAAGACUGGGAUAACUUCGGGAAACCGGAGCUAAUACCGGAUAAUAUAUUGAACCGCAUGGUUCAAUAGUGAAAGACGGUUUUGCUGUCACUUAUAGAUGGAUCCGCGCCGCAUUAGCUAGUUGGUAAGGUAACGGCUUACCAAGGCGACGAUGCGUAGCCGACCUGAGAGGGGGAUCGGCCACACUGGAACUGAGACACGGUCCAGACUCCUACGGGAGGCAGCAGUAGGGAAUCUUCCGAAAUGGGCGAAAGCCUGACGGAGCAACGCCGCGUGAGUGAUGAAGGUCUUCGGAUCGUAAAACUCUGUUAUUAGGGAAGAACAAAUGUGUAAGUAACUAUGCACGUCUUGACGGUACCUAAUCAGAAAGCCACGGCUAACUACGUG
Molecule: ribosomal RNA, 497 nt
Filed under: uncultured bacterium
Lineage: Bacteria
Description: partial 16S ribosomal RNA
Rfam family: Bacterial small subunit ribosomal RNA
Source: RNAcentral